AGACGCUGAGCGCUGAAAUUCUCAUCCGCCACACACAACAUGGCGGCUUCCUGGACCCGCGCCCAAUUAUCGCUUCCGGGAUGGAAGCUACGUCAUUUCUCUCUCUGUUGCUCUAGCGCCCCUUGGAAGCCAAGAAUGUGAGGAAGUCUUCUUCCUUCGCGCCUCUUCUUCCUUCUUCUUGCUUCCGCUCCAGGGCAGCCUGACAGAGCCGCUCUAAGGCUCUGCUGGCCGCGGCUAGCCGAUUUUCCCCUUCGCCGAUCAGCAGUUGCAAAAAGUCCUCCAAGAAAAGUCAGGAUGCCAGAAAGCCAUACCUGAGGGAGGCAGAAUUGCAUGGCGGUGGGCUACACGGGCUCCAGAGUUGGCCAAUGUGUGGCCUCUAACAAGUAUCUUGCCUCCUCUAUGCCUCAGUUUCCUUCUCUGUAAAGUGUGGGUGAUGAUGUUUACUUUUUAGUUGUCAGGAAGGUGAGGGAUGAUGAUGCUUAGCACAGUGUCUGGCACUUUACAGCAAGCGCCACGAUCCACUGUUGUCAUCGGGACUUUUGUCAUUCUCAGUUCUGCCACAUGUUUGCCCUGGGUCCUUGAGCAAAUUGGCUCCUUUCUGUGGCCCCCUUGUU
This 614-nucleotide long non-coding RNA is filed under the name Pongo abelii (Sumatran orangutan). Its description in RNAcentral is "lincRNA". The record is from RNAcentral. Lineage: Eukaryota; Metazoa; Chordata; Mammalia; Primates; Hominidae.